Molecule: ribosomal RNA, 1165 nt
Filed under: Acinetobacter calcoaceticus
Lineage: Bacteria; Pseudomonadati; Pseudomonadota; Gammaproteobacteria; Moraxellales; Moraxellaceae
Description: bacterial SSU rRNA
Rfam family: Bacterial small subunit ribosomal RNA
Source: RNAcentral
CUUAGCGGCGGACGGGUGAGUAAUGCUUAGGAAUCUGCCUAUUAGUGGGGGACAACAUUUCGAAAGGAAUGCUAAUACCGCAUACGUCCUACGGGAGAAAGCAGGGGAUCUUCGGACCUUGCGCUAAUAGAUGAGCCUAAGUCGGAUUAGCUAGUUGGUGGGGUAAAGGCCUACCAAGGCGACGAUCUGUAGCGGGUCUGAGAGGAUGAUCCGCCACACUGGGACUGAGACACGGCCCAGACUCCUACGGGAGGCAGCAGUGGGGAAUAUUGGACAAUGGGCGCAAGCCUGAUCCAGCCAUGCCGCGUGUGUGAAGAAGGCCUUAUGGUUGUAAAGCACUUUAAGCGAGGAGGAGGCUACUUUAGAUAAUACCUAGAGAUAGUGGACGUUACUCGCAGAAUAAGCACCGGCUAACUCUGUGCCAGCAGCCGCGGUAAUACAGAGGGUGCAAGCGUUAAUCGGAUUUACUGGGCGUAAAGCGCGCGUAGGCGGCUAAUUAAGUCAAAUGUGAAAUCCCCGAGCUUAACUUGGGAAUUGCAUUCGAUACUGGUUAGCUAGAGUGUGGGAGAGGAUGGUAGAAUUCCAGGUGUAGCGGUGAAAUGCGUAGAGAUCUGGAGGAAUACCGAUGGCGAAGGCAGCCAUCUGGCCUAACACUGACGCUGAGGUGCGAAAGCAUGGGGAGCAAACAGGAUUAGAUACCCUGGUAGUCCAUGCCGUAAACGAUGUCUACUAGCCGUUGGGGCCUUUGAGGCUUUAGUGGCGCAGCUAACGCGAUAAGUAGACCGCCUGGGGAGUACGGUCGCAAGACUAAAACUCAAAUGAAUUGACGGGGGCCCGCACAAGCGGUGGAGCAUGUGGUUUAAUUCGAUGCAACGCGAAGAACCUUACCUGGCCUUGACAUAGUAAGAACUUUCCAGAGAUGGAUUGGUGCCUUCGGGAACUUACAUACAGGUGCUGCAUGGCUGUCGUCAGCUCGUGUCGUGAGAUGUUGGGUUAAGUCCCGCAACGAGCGCAACCCUUUUCCUUAUUUGCCAGCGAGUAAUGUCGGGAACUUUAAGGAUACUGCCAGUGACAAACUGGAAGGAAGGCGGGGGACGACGUCAAGUCAUCAUGGCCCUUACGGCCAGGGCUACACACGUGCUACAAUGGUCGGGACAAAGGGUUG